GCAAGUCGAACGAGAUCUAAGUUGAAUUUAUUCAAUUUAGUGAAAGUGGCGGACGAGCGAGUAACACGUAACCAUCUGCCCCGUACUCAGGGAUAACGGCUCGAAAGAGUCGCUAAUACCGGAUAGUCUCGCGAGAGUAAAGCUUUUGCGGUACGGGAGGAGGUUGCGGCUUAUCAGUUAGUUGGUGGGGUAAAGGCCUACCAAGACGAUGACGAGUAGCUGGUGUGAGAGCAUGACC
This 238-nucleotide ribosomal RNA is filed under the name uncultured bacterium. RNAcentral describes it as "partial 16S ribosomal RNA". It matches the Rfam family "Bacterial small subunit ribosomal RNA", at positions 57 to 305 of the family's 1533-position model. The record is from RNAcentral.